ACAGAUGGGCCCGCGGUGCAUUAGCUAGUUGGUGAGGUAACGGCUCACCAAGGCAACGAUGCAUAGCCGACCUGAGAGGGUGAUCGGCCACAUUGGGACUGAGACACGGCCCAGACUCCUACGGGAGGCAGCAGUAGGGAAUCUUCCGCAAUGGACGAAAGUCUGACGGAGCAACGCCGCGUGAGUGAUGAAGGCUUUCGGGUCGUAAAACUCUGUUGUUAGGGAAGAACACGUACAAGAGUAACUGCUUGUACCUUGACGGUACCUAACCAGAAAGCCCCGGCUAACUACGUGCCAGCAGCCGCGGUAAUACGUAGGUGGCAAGCGUUAUCCGGAAUUAUUGGGCGUAAAGCGCGCGCAGGCGGUUUCUUAAGUCUGAUGUGAAAGCCCACGGCUCAACCGUGGAGGGUCAUUGGAAACUGGGGAACUUGAGUGCAGAAGAGAAAAGCGGAAUUCCACGUGUAGCGGUGAAAUGCGUAGAGAUGUGGAGGAACACCAGUGGCGAAGGCGGCUCUUUGGUCUGUCACUGAC
RNAcentral lists this ribosomal RNA (531 nucleotides) under Priestia megaterium. Its description in RNAcentral is "bacterial SSU rRNA". It matches the Rfam family "Bacterial small subunit ribosomal RNA", at positions 221 to 744 of the family's 1533-position model. The record is from RNAcentral. Lineage: Bacteria; Bacillati; Bacillota; Bacilli; Caryophanales; Bacillaceae. RNAcentral also lists the same sequence under 1 other name.